CAGCUUGUGCUUUGGUCAAAUCCAAGUACAUUUUCUGCUCGACCUGUUCUUCUUCUUAGAGUCUCUAUCUCACGUUGUUUCGGUUCUUGGUUCUAGAUGGCUGCCCCCGGACACGUGUUGUACGGCGCUGACAGUGUUUCCUACUCUAUGUGCCUACACUUUGAGGGUUUUCCUGCUAUUUUGUGGGAUACCUUAAGGUGGUUUGGGUACUAGUCCCCGCCUAUGUACGUGGGACGGAUGUACCAGGAGCACGGAGUGCAGAGAUGCAAUGUUCAGGUGGUUGUA
This 285-nucleotide long non-coding RNA is filed under the name Setaria viridis. RNAcentral's name for it is "long non-coding RNA (SVIR_LNC009410)". The record is from RNAcentral. Lineage: Eukaryota; Viridiplantae; Streptophyta; Magnoliopsida; Poales; Poaceae.